RNAcentral lists this ribosomal RNA (376 nucleotides) under uncultured bacterium. Its description in RNAcentral is "bacterial SSU rRNA". It matches the Rfam family "Bacterial small subunit ribosomal RNA", at positions 524 to 898 of the family's 1533-position model. The record is from RNAcentral.
CACGUAGGAGACGAGCGUUAUCCGGAUUUACUGGGUGUAAAGCGCGUGCAGGCGGUAUGGUAAGUUGGAUGUGAAAGCUCCCGGCUUAACUGGGAGAGGUCGUACAAGACUGCCAAACUAGAGGACAGCAGAGGGGAGUGGAAUUCCGAGUGUAGCGGUAAAAUGCAUAGAUAUUCGGAAGAACACCAGUGGCGAAGGCGGCUCUCUGGGCUGUACCUGACGCUCAGACGCGAAAGCUAGGGUAGCAAACGGGAUUAGAGACCCCGGUAGUCCUAGCCGUAAACGAUGUGAACUUGGCGUAGGUGGGUUCAAAUCCAUCUGUGCCGCAGCAAACGCGAUAAGUUCACCACCUGGGGACUACGGCCGCAAGGUUAAA